Non-coding RNA from Microcebus murinus (gray mouse lemur), 2299 nucleotides. The record is from RefSeq and is a predicted model, not a curated record. NCBI's taxonomy places the organism in Eukaryota, Metazoa, Chordata, Mammalia, Primates, Cheirogaleidae.
CUCGCGGGCGGGGAGAGGCGUUGGGGGGACGAAGGCCCUGCGGCGGAUGGGGAGACCGGGCUUGCCAAGAAGAUUGUCCAUUUAAGGGCUAGUUGUGCGCUGUAGGAUUCCGAAGAGAUGAAGAAACGGAGAGAUUUCUCCUUCAUGCCCUCUUCAUCCAGAGGCCGAGCACGCACUGGUCAGCGGGGCGCUUGAGACGUCCCAGUGUGGAGCUGGUGACAGAGAAAAGGCGAGCCAGGGGUGGGCGUGGUGGGGGCAGCCAAGGGUGCUGAGAAAAGGCAUCAAAGGGCACCUGCUGCUGGUGGCAGGUAUUUGGCCCGAUAUGGGCCACUGUGUGGGGACUGACGGGGACUACGGAGGCCAGACUGGCCAGAGCCCUUCCCGUCUGAGCGCCAGCUCUGCAGGCUCCUCGGCGCCGGGUCCAGAACCUGGCUGUGUCGCCGCUCUCUCCUCCGGGUAACGGGAGACUGGGCCAGCUCAAGCCGAGCGCGAAGGCAGCCCUGAUGCUGCCAGGCUCCUCCGGGGACCUCUCCAGUGCGUCUGCGCCGGCCUCAAGGGCCGCCACCCCAGCUGCGAGGGUUUCCCAGGACGGAGGGGUGUCCUGACCAGACUGAAGGCUGCACCCUGCCACAGCCUUCCUGGCGGGCAGAGGCAGGGCUUUCUUAAAAAUCAAGGCUGGAGUUGAUUCUUAAAGAUGCAUGGCAUUGAUUCAGGAAAGACAAAAGGAAAAGAUGCUCACCAGGGGCAUGGAAAAUUCAUGGGGCCUUGUUCUGAGAGAAGCAAGUUAUCAUUCUGGAAUGGCUCUAUGAAGAGGUUAAUGUGUCAAGAUGCUGACAACCCCAGCAACAGCUAACAAGGACCUCUAGCCUACCAACAGCCACGUGAGUGACCUCGGAAGCCGACCCUCCCUGAGUUGAGCCUGCAGAUGACUGUCGCCUUGGAGAGCACCUUGACCGAAGAAUGUGAGGGAAUGUGAGCCUGCUGAACUGUACCUGCAUUCCUGCAGAAACUGUGAGAUAAUAAACAUUGCUUUAAGCUGCUAAUUUGGUGGCAUUUUGUUAUGCAGCAAUAGAUAACCAAACUCCACCAAAGUAAUCGGUCUCCUUGGGGUGGCUUAAUAGUCUCCUAAUCUUAGAAGAACUGAUGAUACUUCAUGCUCUCACGUUUGCCAUCUUCUUUUCGGCAGCAAGGGAGCAGCUGUCCCAGGGUAUUUCUCCAAGAGGAACACCCUAGCACCAUCUGCCAGUGGGGAGCCAGCCAGCUCAUUGUCAGCGACAGUAACAGAAAUUCCAACUAAAGUAUUUUCACUUCCCCACACUCAUGUUCAAGCAGAGCUUCUGAAGUUCCUUCUUGGCAAAUGCAUCUCCUACUGUGUCUUUAGUCAAACAAUUGCAUUUUCUAGCCCUCCGCCUUGGGGCAUGGCUCCCUGCACCAGCUCCCCAGUGCCUUUCCAAAGCCAGUGCUCACUCGGAGGGAGACAGCACAUGUUUUCAUUUCAAGUCCAUGUGGAGGAUGAUUUGAGAGCAUCCCUGUGUUUUAAACUUUCUUCAGGUGAAAGGAACUCAGACAUUUUUAUCUCUCUUUCAAGAGGAGAAUAGUCCGAGGUAUCGGCCUUAGUCCUUUAGUUUGUUUCUGGUUUCUAAAGCAGCAUGCAUAUAAACAAAAAUACAGCUUAGUUUCCCUUUUGACAGCAUUUUUAAAUCAGAGAAAUACCACUUUUCUUGUAAAAAUUAUACAAAAGAAGUGAUAACAUGAUUUCUCAGGAAUGCAAGGCCACACGGACCCCAGAAAAAAGACAGAUCCACAUGUUCAGAGCAUGGUUUAAAAAAGAAGAAAAAGAAAAAAGAAAAAAAAGAAAAAAAACACAACAGAGAAUUAGGGUUCUGGAAGGAUGUAAAGAAACUGGAGCAUUUUUAUCAGGAUGAGAAGUGGGGCUUUAACCUUCUGAAUAGUCUACUGGACAUAAAAGUGUGUAAUAUAGUAUCCCAUAAGCCACUACAUACCAAUGAGCAUCAAUGCUCAUCUGUUCUGGUUGUGAGGAGAGUACCAAGUGGUAAAAGCUUUUAGGAGAGAGUUUGUGUGUGAUAGUAGAAAUGCUGAUGGCUUGGACUCAGACAAGCUCAGACUCAAGAUCAACCUACCUGCGCUGAGGAUGUGAAUUUUAUGACAAAGUAAACAAGGGAGGCAUGGAAGGAUUGCUUUGCUUUUUCAGUGAAUUUUACCUACCCUGGGCUGACAUUGGCUCAAACAUUUUUAUAUUCUAUAUUUCAUGUUAUUUGAAUAAAAAUGUUAAGCUUUC